UGUGGGAGCGGGCUUGCCCGCGAUAAGGCCGUGUCAGUCGAUAAAGAUAGUGACUGAUAGACCGCCAUCGCGGGCAAGCCCGCUCCCACA
Molecule: unclassified non-coding RNA, 90 nt
Filed under: Pseudomonas arsenicoxydans
Lineage: Bacteria; Pseudomonadati; Pseudomonadota; Gammaproteobacteria; Pseudomonadales; Pseudomonadaceae
Source: RNAcentral